RNAcentral lists this ribosomal RNA (169 nucleotides) under Emblemaria pandionis (sailfin blenny). RNAcentral's name for it is "partial 12S rRNA". The record is from RNAcentral. Lineage: Eukaryota; Metazoa; Chordata; Actinopteri; Blenniiformes; Chaenopsidae.
CACCGCGGUUAUACGAGAGGCCCAAGUUGACACCCUUUCGGCGUAAAGAGUGGUUAAAUUAAAUUAGUACUAAAGCGGACCCCUCCCCCUACUGUUAUACGUUCUUGGGAGUAGUGACCCCGACUACGAAAGUAGCUUUAUUAAAAUUGACCCCACGAAAGCUGUGGCA